Molecule: microRNA, 23 nt
Filed under: Nematostella vectensis (starlet sea anemone)
Lineage: Eukaryota; Metazoa; Cnidaria; Anthozoa; Actiniaria; Edwardsiidae
Description: nve-miR-2040a-3p
Source: miRBase by way of RNAcentral
UUUGUCUCGUAACUGCCCUGAAG